RNAcentral lists this ribosomal RNA (471 nucleotides) under uncultured organism. RNAcentral describes it as "partial 16S ribosomal RNA". It matches the Rfam family "Bacterial small subunit ribosomal RNA", at positions 335 to 797 of the family's 1533-position model. The record is from RNAcentral.
ACUCCUGCGGGAGGCAGCAGUGGGGAAUAUUGCACAAUGGGCGCAAGCCUGAUGCAGCCAUGCCGCGUGUAUGAAGAAGGCCUUCGGGUUGUAAAGUACUUUCAGCGGGGAGGAAGGCGAUAAGGUUAAUAACCUUGUUGAUUGACGUUACCCGCAGAAGAAGCACCGGCUAACUCCGUGCCAGCAGCCGCGGUAAUACGGAGGGUGCAAGCGUUAAUCGGAAUUACUGGGCGUAAAGCGCACGCAGGCGGUCUGUCAAGUCGGAUGUGAAAUCCCCGGGCUCAACCUGGGAACUGCAUUCGAAACUGGCAGGCUAGAGUCUUGUAGAGGGGGGUAGAAUUCCAGGUGUAGCGGUGAAAUGCGUAGAGAUCUGGAGGAAUACCGGUGGCGAAGGCGGCCCCCUGGACAAAGACUGACGCUCAGGUGCGAAAGCGUGGGGAGCAAACAGGAUUAGAAACCCCAGUAGUCCCA